Molecule: ribosomal RNA, 498 nt
Filed under: uncultured Planctomycetia bacterium
Lineage: Bacteria; Pseudomonadati; Planctomycetota; Planctomycetia
Description: bacterial SSU rRNA
Rfam family: Bacterial small subunit ribosomal RNA
Source: RNAcentral
GAGUUUGAUCAUGGCUCAGAAUGAACGUUGGCGGCGUGGAUUAGGCAUGCAAGUCGAGCGAGAACCCCGCAAGGGGGGACAGCGGCAAACGGGGUAGUAAUGUGUCGGAACGUGCCCUGAGGUCGGGGAUAGCGGCGGGAAACUGCCGGUAAUACCCGAUGAUCUCGAGAGAGCAAAGGUGUGAUUCCGCCUUUGGAGCGGCCGACAUGGUAUUAGCUAGUUGGCGGGGUAACGGCCCACCAAGGCUGUGAUGCCUAGGGGAUGUGAGAGCAUGAUCCCCACCAUUGGGACUGAGACACUGCCCAGACACCUACGGGUGGCUGCAGUCGAGAAUCUUCGUCAAUGGGCGAAAGCCUGAACGAGCGACGCCGCGUGCGGGAUGAAGGCCUUUGGGUUGUAAACCGCUGUCGAGGGGAUGAAGGCUUGAAAGUCAUCUUUCAAGUUUGACAGAGCCCUGGAGGAAGCACGGGCUAAGUUCGUGCCAGCCGCCGCCGUAAC